This 914-nucleotide long non-coding RNA is filed under the name Medicago truncatula (barrel medic). RNAcentral describes it as "lncRNA gene26708". The record is from RNAcentral. Lineage: Eukaryota; Viridiplantae; Streptophyta; Magnoliopsida; Fabales; Fabaceae.
UAAAAACAACAACUUGGUAUUUUCAUUCAAGAUCUACUAUAUUAUUUUGGCAUUUACAUGUCACAAAUUACAAUCACAACCGAACUAGAAUUUGAACAUUGGAUUGACCGCAUAAUUAUCAAAAGACAAAUCCUAAUCCUAAUUCACCUAACAGAAAAGAGGUAAUAACUGCAACUAUGUUUUUGUGGUGGGUCCUUGAUCAACUUCUAUUUCCUACUUUUACUGUGCUUCUAGAAAGAAGAAAAAAGUGAAAAGAAAAAGGAAAAAAUAAAAUAAAAAGAAGCAUAAUCACAGAAUAUUCACACAACACAAAAAACAAAUCAAAUUCAACAAUAAGCCAAUCGUUGAUUCACACGAUCUCUAAGAAUUCCAUUAUACAAAGCUGCUCUGUUUGCAGGCAUUCCUCUGUUCUCGUUUCCACCAUUACAAUUCUUUUGAACCUUUGAUCUUGAAUUCAACUUCAAAGAAUGUUUAGUAUUAUUCAUAGUACUAGUACCAUGUUGUUGUUGAUGUUGUUGUUUUCUGUACUCUUCUCCGUCUUUACAUGAAUCCACAACAUCCUUAGCAAAACUUACUCUUUUCUUCAGUUUCUUUGUUUUCUUUUCAUCUGAUAAACAAGAACGUAGAAUAGGAGUUGAAGAAGAAGAAGAAGAAACAUGGUGAAGAGAGAAUUGAGAUUUCUGAAGACGGAGAGCAAGGAUGAUGACUGUGCCGGAGACAGCCAUGGCGGUUGCAAAGACAGCACCUUGUGAGGUAAUCAUUGAAGACAUGUUUUGAAGAAAAGAAGAAAUGAAAGAAGAGAGGUUUGGUCUUUGAUGAAAAUUAAGAAAAGUGAGAAAGUGGUAUAGUCUCAUAUUAGAAGCAGCCAAACAAGAGUGAAAAUAUAUAUAUUAUAGUCCAAAUCAAAUGUGUGU